RNAcentral lists this ribosomal RNA (253 nucleotides) under uncultured bacterium. Its description in RNAcentral is "partial 16S ribosomal RNA". It matches the Rfam family "Bacterial small subunit ribosomal RNA", at positions 524 to 776 of the family's 1533-position model. The record is from RNAcentral.
UACAGAGGGGGCAAGCGUUGUUCGGAAUUACUGGGCGUAAAGGGCGCGUAGGCGGCCCGCUAAGUCGAACGUGAAAUCCCCAGGCUCAACCUGGGAACUGCGUCCGAUACUGGCAGGCUUGAAUCCGGGAGAGGGAUGUGGAAUUCCAGGUGUAGCGGUGAAAUUCGUAGAUAUCUGGAGGAACACCGGUGGCGAAGGCGACAUCCUGGACCGGUAUUGACGCUGAGGCGCGAAAGCCAGGGGAGCAAACGGG